UUCACUGAGGGAUUCCCAGAUAACGACUGCAAUCCUGUCUCCUCCAAAGGCUUAGAUUAUCAUAAACAUUUCCUUUGUUUGAAAGAACGCCUAUUCUUACUGGGUGACAAAUCCCAAAUUUCCACAGGAGUCAGGAAGUCUACACCUUCAGGGUUGCAAGGUCAUGUGACCUGGGAACCCAGCAGAAGCUAUACCCAGAAAAAAGGAUGAUGAGGCCAAUUACUGCAUGUCCCUUCUUCCCAGGAGCCACUGGGGCAGCUGGAAACUUGCACAGCACCUGCAAGACUCUCAUCUCUCAUUUUCCAUCUUGAGACUGUAACCAGAUGCAAACUCAGAUGCCUUCAUGGUCAACUCUAUGGUCCAAUGAAAAGGUUCAGUUGAAAAUUCUGCUGAUUUAUUAUUGUUGUUGAUAGAGAUGAUGGCUCACUUUGCAGUUGGAGAUGGAAUUCAUCCAUGACCUUGCAGAAGACUGACCUGGUAAUGUGAAUCGGCAUAUGGCGCACUUUGCAAAGGUGAUUUCCAACAGCUUUCAAAUGUAAUUGAUGUAAGAAAACUUCAUCGACGGGAUCAUACCCAGGUGACAGGCAGUGAUAGCGGCCAUGCAAGUGCUGUCUCAGAUUGAAAUGCUAAAUAUUAUGCAACAUCUUGCAGUGAAGAAUUUUACAUCCUACAAGAGACUCAAGCACAAUUGUAAGAUCCCUGCAAGGAAUAAAAUGCUUUCAAAGACGCGAUAGAGAAACCUGGUGCAAAGACUGAAGAGACAACCUCAGACUUAACACAGCAUAUUUUAAUUUUGUUGUUGUCUUAACUGAAGAUUGGGGCUCAGCCUCUAAAUCAGCUGCAAAAUUACUGGGAAAUGUUGGUACUGUAGCAUCUACUGGUUGAACAAAAUGUAACAUCUGAAUUCUUUGAAUGGGCACCAAAUUUCAAUUAAAAACU
Molecule: long non-coding RNA, 939 nt
Organism: Rhineura floridana
Lineage: Eukaryota; Metazoa; Chordata; Lepidosauria; Squamata; Rhineuridae
Exons: 6
Source: RefSeq, a predicted model, not a curated record